This 464-nucleotide ribosomal RNA is filed under the name Vreelandella stevensii. RNAcentral's name for it is "partial 16S ribosomal RNA". It matches the Rfam family "Bacterial small subunit ribosomal RNA", at positions 338 to 795 of the family's 1533-position model. The record is from RNAcentral. Lineage: Bacteria; Pseudomonadati; Pseudomonadota; Gammaproteobacteria; Oceanospirillales; Halomonadaceae.
CCUAGGGUGGCAGCAGUGGGGAAUAUUGGACAAUGGGCGAAGGCCUGAUCCAGCCAUGCCGCGUGUGUGAAGAAGGCCUUCGGGUUGUAAAGCACUUUCAGUGGGGAAGAAAGCCUUGGGGCUAAUACCCUCGAGGAAGGACAUCACCCACAGAAGAAGCACCGGCUAACUCCGUGCCAGCAGCCGCGGUAAUACGGAGGGUGCGAGCGUUAAUCGGAAUUACUGGGCGUAAAGCGCGCGUAGGCGGUCUGAUAAGCCGGUUGUGAAAGCCCCGGGCUCAACCUGGGAACGGCAUCCGGAACUGUCAGGCUAGAGUGCAGGAGAGGAAGGUAGAAUUCCCGGUGUAGCGGUGAAAUGCGUAGAGAUCGGGAGGAAUACCAGUGGCGAAGGCGGCCUUCUGGACUGACACUGACGCUGAGGUGCGAAAGCGUGGGUAGCAAACAGGAUUAGAUACCCCUGUAGUC